This is a long non-coding RNA of Hydra vulgaris (swiftwater hydra), 458 nucleotides long. RefSeq lists it as uncharacterized. The record is from RefSeq and is a predicted model, not a curated record. Lineage: Eukaryota; Metazoa; Cnidaria; Hydrozoa; Anthoathecata; Hydridae.
UUGUGGAUUCGUGACGCAUAAACAAUUGAAGCUGCUCGAAAAACCAUUCCAAGAAAAGCUGCUUCAAUAGCUCCACAGAUAAAGUAUUAUUAUAUAAAGCACUGUUGUAUACAUGGUGGAAAAAAGUUUACAAAUAAAGGCAAUGGAAAACGUCAAACUUCGACUUAUAAAAAAGAGUGUCCAUUCUUCUUAAGUUUUAAAGCAUCAGAAGAUGGACAAACAUUAAUCUUGCAAGAUUUAAACAAUGAACAUAAUCAUGAAGUAUCUGAGAAAAAGCCUGAAUACAACUCAUGGAGAGGCUGAUAGAACCACAGUUCCUAAUGCAAUAAUACGAAAUCUCAAAGAGCAACUUGCAACAGUUUUUGCCAAUUACUCGUGGGCGUGCGUCAGACGAAGUCUUAAUCAGAGCGACCUAGAUAGGAAGAAAAAACGAAAGUAAUCAGCAAUGCAAUUAUGAC